Molecule: long non-coding RNA, 618 nt
Organism: Lemur catta (Ring-tailed lemur)
Lineage: Eukaryota; Metazoa; Chordata; Mammalia; Primates; Lemuridae
Exons: 2
Source: RefSeq, a predicted model, not a curated record
UCCUGAAGAUCACAGCUACUUCCCUGAAGAGCAGGGUGAACCCAGCUGAGGCCCAGCUCGCAGGAAGAAGUGGGGGGCGGAAGGCACUGGGAGAGAGGGGAGGUGUGGGUGUUUAGGGACAGCACUCGGCUCCAAAGAAGGCUGGGAUUUGAAGGCUGAGCCAGGAUCCCUUGCUCCGCUUGGGCGCCGGCUGACUGUGGUCUAAGCUCCUUUGGUUUGUGGCUGCGUUGUUCCAGUACCUGCUUCCGUGGUGGCCUCGCUGUCUGUUUCUCCGUGUCUUCUCCCCAGUGUGCUCGCUUACAAGGACACAGGGACUGCACUCUGGGCCCACCUGGGAAAUCCGAGAGAAGCUCCUGCUCUCAGAAUCCUUCACGUAAUCACAUACUUUGCCAUGUAAGGUCAUAUUCCCUCUGUUGCCAUAUAAGGCACCAUCCGCAGGUUCCAGGGAUCAGGACAUGGACAUAACUCUCUGCGGGCCACCGUUCAACCCACGACAACCCCCUAGAGCCUCUGGAAGGCACAGCCCUGCCCACACCCCGGCGUUGGCCCUGUGAGACUCGUUUUGGACUUCUGAACUCCAGAACGGUGAGAGAAUAAAUGUGUCAUUUUAAACCACGA